Small nuclear RNA from Jaculus jaculus (lesser Egyptian jerboa), 160 nucleotides. Its record names the gene U1. It matches the Rfam family "U1 spliceosomal RNA". Rfam says of the family: U1 is a small nuclear RNA (snRNA) component of the spliceosome (involved in pre-mRNA splicing). Its 5' end forms complementary base pairs with the 5' splice junction, thus defining the 5' donor site of an intron. The record is from Ensembl. Lineage: Eukaryota; Metazoa; Chordata; Mammalia; Rodentia; Dipodidae.
AUACUUACCUGGCAGGGGAGAUACCAUGAUCACAUAGGUGGUUUUUCCAGGGCAACGCUUAUCCAUUGCACUCUAGCUAUGCUGACCCUGCGAUUUCCCCAAACGCAGCAAACUACUGCAUAAUUUGUGGUAAUGGGGACUGCAUUUGUGCCCCCCCCCA